ACUGGAUAACUGAAUUCUAGAAUUCAAGCCUGAUGUCAUAGUUCCAUGAGAAUUUUAUGAGAAGGAAAAGGAUGUUGUACAUGGGCAGAAAGGUGAAAAUUGUGGCCAGAGGCAGAUUGUGGUAAAUUACAAAAUUGGCUCAUAAUCCUUUAUUCCUUCUUGCCUCCAUGCUCUUUGCAAUGUGACUUUGCCACUUUUCUCAUUAAGAGAUGGAUUCUGUUCUCCAUUGCCUUCUGUCUGGACUGGUCUUGUAACUUGUUCUGGUUAAUACAGAGGUAAAUGUGAUGACACAUCAGAAGCCCAGGCCUCAAGCAAGCUUUCCCACUUGUUCUCUUGGAACCCUUCCCAGCUAUCAGGUAAAUAAGCCCAGGCUAUUGUGCUGGAUGAUGAGAGGUCACUGGAACACUGAUGAGCCAUAACAGCUGAGGCCAUUCUAGAAUAGGCAGCUUUAGCCAACCAGGCAGCUGACUGCAGAUACAGGCCUGCAUCCAGAUGAGUCCAGAAAAGCAACCUAGACACUACUGGCAAAGACAUUGAAAAGAAUCACACUGCUAAACCAGUAGCAGCUUUUAUCUUCUUCUCAGAUUGUAUACAUGCAGGAUAAAAGUGUUUCUAACACAUAGACUUCUAUAUUCCAGCAUAAAGAUGUAUUAGGCGCAUUUAUACUUUUACAUCGAAGCCUGUUUCAACAUGAACGGAGCCCAGGCAAGUGUCCUUGUCAUCAAUCGAGAGUGAAAGUUAGCUAUACUUAAAAAAAAAAUAGGUUUUAAAAAAUAUCAAAAUAAUUAGAAAAGAGUUUCAACUAAUAACAUACUUACUAUUUGUAUUCCAUUUUGACAGUACCAUGUUAGAUCAAUGACUUCAUUUAUCACAAUAUAUUCCAUGUUACAGUUACCUCUCAGGAAAAUGACAUUGAUAGAGUCAACUUUCUUGAGAAUUAAGCUUCUGUAACUUUUAUUUAAAGGUGUCUCAAGCUUGUGCUUCUUAGUAUUUUAUGAUAUGUCUUUAGUUUUUGUAAUUUCACUUUGUCAAAACAUUACAUUUGUCAUUAUUCAUACUGAAAGACAAGGUAUUUUGAAGAUAAAAAUCUACCAAGGAUCAUCUACCAUUUGCUUUUGAUAUAAAAGAUUUAUAAGACCAUUUAGACCACAAAAACAAACCUUCCUAAGGACAUAUCUAUACAUCAACAAAUAUUAAAAAUUACAUUUCUAGGAAAUUAAAAACAAUUUAGAAAGGUGCUUAGUUGAACAGAAAUUAGCUACAACCAAAAUAAUGAUUAAUAUUAUAACCAUAAUCAUAGAAAAUAACAGUUGAUUGCCACUUUCAAGAAUAAAAGCAAAUUCUGUGAAUACAGAACUAAAAUACUAAAAAUAAACAAACAAGCUUGGGAGAGAUUAGUCAUGCAAAAUCCAACCCUAGAUAUUUGAUGGCAAUUAUCUUAAUUUUUUACCUUAUAAUUGAGAUGGUAUUUCACUGGCAAAGCUUAAACCAAGUAAUAUUCACAAAAAUGGAAGAAAUUCAUAAUUAAAGAAAGUCAUUAAGCAAAACAGAAAAAA
Molecule: long non-coding RNA, 1556 nt
Filed under: Homo sapiens (human)
Lineage: Eukaryota; Metazoa; Chordata; Mammalia; Primates; Hominidae
Description: long independently transcribed non-coding RNA 1911, transcript variant 5 (LINC01911)
Source: RNAcentral